This 76-nucleotide transfer RNA is filed under the name Haloquadratum walsbyi. It matches the Rfam family "tRNA". From Rfam's summary of the family: Transfer RNA (tRNA) molecules are approximately 80 nucleotides in length. Their secondary structure includes four short double-helical elements and three loops (D, anti-codon, and T loops). Further hydrogen bonds mediate the characteristic L-shaped molecular structure. tRNAs have two regions of fundamental functional importance: the anti-codon, which is responsible for specific mRNA codon recognition, and the 3' end, to which the tRNAs corresponding amino acid is attached (by aminoacyl-tRNA synthetases). tRNAs cope with the degeneracy of the genetic code in two manners: having more than one tRNA (with a specific anti-codon) for a particular amino acid; and 'wobble' base-pairing, i.e. permitting non-standard base-pairing at the 3rd anti-codon position. RNAcentral also lists the same sequence under 4 other names. Lineage: Archaea; Methanobacteriati; Methanobacteriota; Halobacteria; Halobacteriales; Haloferacaceae. The record is from Rfam by way of RNAcentral.
GGGCUGGUAGCUUAGAUUGGCCCAAAGCAUCUGGCUUUUAACCAGAGGAUCGAGGGUUCAAAUCCCUCCCGGCCCG